Molecule: long non-coding RNA, 5549 nt
Organism: Canis lupus familiaris (dog)
Lineage: Eukaryota; Metazoa; Chordata; Mammalia; Carnivora; Canidae
Exons: 4
Source: RefSeq, a predicted model, not a curated record
UACUGUGCACCCUGCCCAAUCCUUCUGGCCCCCAGCCAGACAUCUUGGUCUGGGCUUCCCAGCCCUGGUCCAGACUCUGUUCACGACAGUGUGGGAAGGGCUUUUGUCUGGCCCAGCUGUCCCCCACUCACUGGGAGUUCUCCAGGGGCAGGUUGGAUUCAUCUCUGUGCCCCCAUGUCCAGCAGAGUGGGACGUGGGAAGACUCAAGAAAGCUUGUUUAAUAGACAAAUGAAUGCAUGAAUGAGUCAGCCAUUCUUCUGGAACUUCUCCAGGAUAACACUCUACCACCCCUCUUCUUCUGACCAUCUUCCCUGAUGGUGGUUUCUAGAACCCUCUGCCUCCUGCCCCCUUCCUAAACCUACUCCAAGCCUCGACUUUCCUCCCCACAUGUGAACCCCAGGUGCAAACCUUGUCCUGGUCACUCCUCUGGAACAGCAUCCUGGCUCUGGCUCUGGGGGUGGCACAGUCCUGUACAUGCAGUGUUGACUUAACUUAUUUCACUGGGUCACUUAUUCUUUAUUUAUCCAAGUCUUUACAGAGCCCAGAAUAUAUGCCAUGCAUUGGGGAUACAGCACAAAAACAGAUAAGGUCCCUCCCAUUUUGAGGCUCACUCAGGAGAGCAGGGAACAGAGGACCCAGUAGCCUCCAGUCAGUUGCUGGUGUUGUCCAGGUGAGCUGGGGCAUCUGCAGGGGUAUAGUGGGGAUAUCCCCACCAUAAUAGGAUGGGAGGGCUGUGGGCUCCCAUAAUAGGAUGGGAGGCAACAGCCCAGACAGCAGGCUGAGUUGCAGGUCUCAGUCUAACUCCCAGAAUGAAGUGUGUAGAAGGAUGGAGGGCAGUGAGCGUCAGGGCUGGGAUUCACGACACAUGAUGACCCAGACAGGUGGUGAAGUGGCAGGUCAUGAUUUGAGAGUCCAGCAGCCCUGACACACCAGCAAGGUCACUCUCUGAGCUCUUCCUUUUCUGAAGAAUGGGUGUUAAUAAUCCCCACUUCAGUAGAAGAGGAAAUAAAUGUCUACAGGGAAGGCCCCCUGGCACAGAUGAGGGGCUGAAGCUGGGGCCAGGGACUGCCCUGAAGCAUGGGGUUGGGGCCAGAGCUGCUCAAAGUCCUCCUGUCUUCUUCUAAGGGAGGUCUUGAAGCUAAGAUGAGGCCAAGGUGGGAAGGUGGACGGGCAGCUGUUCAAGAGGAUUAGGGCAAAGGGUGGGGGGUUGGGAGAGAUUCAGUUUUGAGUUGGGCGAUUGAUGUACAUGACUAAAAUCCUCACAAGCCUAAGGUGGAGCACAUCUCACCCCGAGGAAACCGAGGCUUGUACAGGAAGUGACCUGCCACAGGUAAGUGCAGAGCUGGGCUCAAAUUCAGAUUCAUGAGAGCCUUGCACUCCUGCCCCGAUCUUACACUGAGGUUAGGGGCUUUCUGGCUCUCCCCUCCUUUCUCACAGUUGAGCUUUGGGGUCAUGAGCUGGUCCUCCCCUCCAUGAUUGUGACCUGUGGCAUUAAACAACUUCUCUGUCCUUGAUCUUCUUCAUCCACUGUUUUCAGGACAGUCUGGAGUCCUGCAGGAGCCCAGCUGUGUGGUCCAGGUUCUACAGUAGCUUCUGUGCUGAGCACCUGGAGGGCUGGGGCCAUAACGCCUCAUCCAGGGCCCCGCAUGGAACAGGAACCAGGCAAGUAUUUGCUAAAGAAGGAAGGGGCAGAGGGUGGCCUGGGAUUCCAGAAUGCCCUGAGUGGGUGAAACUUCCCCACAGUGCAGAAGGGAAAGAAUAUCGACUAUCAAGUGUGGUGACUCACUGUCCCAAAUGUGAAUCCCACCCUUGGCCAUCGUUUUUCAAAUUUCAGUAAAAGAAAUAAUAUAAAAUUUACCAUUUUAAUCCUUUUUGAGCGUACAGUUCGGUGUCGUGCAACCAGCACCACCAUCCAUCUCCAGAACCUUGUCAUCAUGCCAAACUCGUGGCAGUUUCUGCAGCCUGAGUGCCCUUAGGCAAGUGAGUGCCCUGGCCCUGGGCCUCUGAGUGCUUAUUUACACACCAAGGAGUGCCCUGCCGCAGGGCUUGUUGUGGGGCUGAAGCAGAUGGAUGCGGCCGAGCUUCCCGGGCCUAGUGGGGUGCACCCAGGAGUGGCUGGUUUUGUUCCCACCAUCAGCACAAGUCAGCCCCUCAAGGACACUCGCUAAAGGGCAAGACUGCAUGUAAUGAUAAUGGUCCUGUGGCACGGGCCUGACACUGCAUGGAGGAGACCCACUGGUGGGCAGCUAGGAGACCUGGAUCCUAAAGCCACCCUGCUGCCCACUAGCUGUGUGGCUUUGGCCAAGUCGGCCUCCCCUGGGCCUCUGCUUGUACAAAGAGCAGGUGCACCAGGGGGCACUCUUGCACGUGGUGCCCAAAGCCUGUUCCGUUCCCUUAGUCCUCAACCUCAGUCCUCAUCUGACUCCUGCCAGGGCUGGGAGACCAAUGAGCAGUUACUUGUGCAUGUGGAAGGGGAACCAGUGCUAGGCUGCAAGACCCUCAGGGAUGGAGGUCCUGGCUCUCUCUCAUUCACACAUUCACUCAUUCAUUCACUCACAUGUUUGGUGAACCCUCAUCUGUGCUAGGCCCCAGGCCGGACUGGCUAUAAGGGACCUUGUGCCUGCCCUCCAGGGGCUCCCAGUCCAGCGGGAGGUGCCAGACUUGCAGGGACGAGAUGAUAUUCCCGGUAUCCUCUAACCUGAGGAGGGGCAAGGUGGUGCGAGGCCUGCGGUGUGGACGGGCUGCAGCAAGUGCUCCCUCAAGCUCUAUCUACUCAUCUGCAAGGCAGGUGUGCAUAAUGCAGCCACCCUUCGGGUCUGUGUGAGGAGCAAACAAGGGGGUGCUCAUAAAGAACGGAGCAUUGCUGCUCAGAAAACAUUCGGGCUCAUGCAAACACCACACAGGUGCGGUGAACCCCACAAGGAAAUGUUGCAUGUGUGUGUCCGUCUGUCCCUCAGCCAAACCCUUCCUGGCACCUGUUGGAACAAAGCAUUUUUCAGGUGCUGCGUUGCAGACCUCCCAUAAACGGGGCUGCUCAGUUCUGUGUGGUACUUCUUGAGAACCCGUAGAGAUGCUUAUCUGCGCUGAACUGUGGUUCUUAGAAGGGAUCUACUGUUGGUUGAACAUAAACUUUGGGUCUAGGGACACAGAAGAGCAAGAUGCAAGCCCCUCCCUCCAGAUCCUUGGUCUUGUGGGUAGAAGACAGGUGUGAAACUUCAAGUGGCCUGCCCUUUGCGGGGUGGAAGUGUGACCCCAAACCCUGCCCCCUGUGCAGGUGGGGGUGGGGUAUUGAGUGGAGAGAUUGACUCGACUCAUGGAUAGAAGGCAGGACCAAAACUGAGGUGAAGGACUGUUUUUGGUCACUUCUGAUGUUUCUUCUCAAAAUACCACCACCACCACCACCACCACCACCACCACCACCACCACCACACACCUCACACGUGCAUAUCAUUUAGGUAUUAAAUCUAAAAUUCCCAUUUUACAGAUGCAGAUGCUGAGGCUUGGAAACCUCAUCCAUUUGCGGAAGAUCACGCUGCUAGCAGGUGCCAUAGUCAGGAGUUGAAUGCUCACACAUGGGGCACCAGAGGCCACCACAGCACCCUCUAUUGCAUCAAAGAAACUUUCUCCCUUUGUGGGUACCUACAUUCCCCUCCUUCCCUUUCUACCAUCCUAUUCUCUGAUGUCCUCAAAAUUUCACCUUAAAACCACAGGACCAGAAGGCUGCAUCCCCUUCCCUGGCACAGACCAUCAGACAAGGACUUCUUGGCUGUGUUUCUCAGGAAAGUGGUAGCUCCGCAAUCCCCGUUUACCUGCAGCACCAGCCUAGGGACAGCCUCCUGCUUAGGGAGCGCCCAGGUACACAGGCUCCACCCUGGGGUGCGGAGCUGAGGACACAGCCUCUUUGUUCUCUUAUCUGCGCCCACAGCCACUUGGAUGUGGGGAGGGCUCUGGGCAGCUCUGCCAACCAAGCAUGGGUUUGCCAAUGAGCCAACUGAGUCCAGGUAUCCACAGAUGUAGUACGUGGGCACAGCAGAACCACCUGGGAGCUUAGAAAAAGUCCCCACCCCAGACCAAUGAAACCGGAAUCUCUGGGUGGGGCCUGGGCAUCAGCAUUUUAUGAAAGCUCCUUACGACAUUCCAUGAUGUGUAGUCCAGUCCGUCUUGGUUGGCCAUAAUGUGGUCCUCGUGGUCAUGGCAGGGGGCCCAGUUUGGACAGUAAUUUGCAUUGAUCCUCAAACCUCCCCUGCAACAGGUUUUAUAUGAUCUCAUGUUAUAGGUUGAAUUUUGUCCCCCCAAAUUUAUACGAAGUCCUAAUUCCUAAUCCCUCAGAGUGCGACCUUGUUUGGAGAUAGGGUCUUCACAGAGGUAGUCAAGGUAGAUGGGGUCAUUGGGUGUGCCUUAACCCAGCAUGACUGGCAUCUCUCUAUAAAAGGAAAUAGACCGGUACAGGGCAAAUGCCAUGUGAGAAUGGGGGGCAGAGACUGGAGAGAUACAUCUAAAGCCAAGGAACACCGAAGAUGCCUGCCAACCACCACAAGCCCAGGGAGAGGCGGGGAACGGGUUCUCCCCGCAGCUCUCAGAAGGAAACAGCCCCGCGGAUGGCUUGAUCUUGGACUUCCAGCCUUCAAGACUGAAACAAUACAUUUCUUCCUUUAAGCCACUCAGUUUGUGCUACUUUGUUACAGCAGCCCUCAGAACCAAUUAUCUUCUUUUCACAAAUGAGCAAAACCAAGAUUAUGAAGUGACUUCCCCAAGGUUACCUGCGCACAGUGACCCUCUUGGGUGCUUAUUUCUCUGCCACUUCUUAAAUGUGGAUCUCCGCCCCUAUCUGAGCCCCCCACCCCCCACCCUAACCCUGUGCCCUCAGCUCUCCAGGUGUUCUCCAUCCAUACACCUUGAGGCAGACAGUGUGCUGCGCACAGGGGCCCAGCAGAAAAACAAGCAACAGACACAGCCCCCACCUCCACAAAAGGCAACAGACAAUAUGCAAAGCCUCUUUUCUUCUGCCAUCAUCCUCUGUAAAAAAAAUUCUGGCUCAGAUGCCUCCUUCCUCUGGAGGCCACAUUGUACAGGAGGCAACUCAUCUUAAUAAUAAGGUUGGUGACUGAAGGAAGUUCCCUGGUUGUGCCUGUUCCUCACUUGGUGGCCCAGGAGAUCAGUGAGUUCAGCGAUCCUGGGGCAGGGGAUCCUCCUCCACUCAUCUGUGCUCCUGAUGUGGGCUGGGCUGCAACAUCCUGUCAGUGCUGGGGGAGGACUAGACUGUCAUCCUGCUGUGUGACCUUGUGAGAGCCACUUGACUACUCUGGGCUGGCUUCCUCCGCUAGCUAAAAGGCCUGGUCCGCACCUUCUUCACUCCAACUUGGAAAGCCAGUGUCCUCAGAUGACUCCUGGGCCUCUGUAACUGUGCUCUCUUAUUUAGUAGCUGCUAGCCACGUGCAGCCGUUCAGCAUCUGACGUGCUGGCUUGUCUGAAUGCAGAUGUGCUGUAAAUAUAAAGUAUAUAUCAGAUUUCAAAGACAAUAUAAAAAAGGAAUUAAAAUAUAUAAUUAA